GAGGGUAUAGCUCAAGUGGUAGAGCGCAGGCUUAGCAUGCACAAGGUCCUGGGUUCGAUCCCCAGUAUCUCCU
Camelus ferus (Wild Bactrian camel) is the source of this 73-nucleotide transfer RNA. It matches the Rfam family "tRNA". Rfam says of the family: Transfer RNA (tRNA) molecules are approximately 80 nucleotides in length. Their secondary structure includes four short double-helical elements and three loops (D, anti-codon, and T loops). The record is from Rfam. NCBI's taxonomy places the organism in Eukaryota, Metazoa, Chordata, Mammalia, Artiodactyla, Camelidae.